RNAcentral lists this transfer RNA (66 nucleotides) under uncultured Halioglobus sp. It matches the Rfam family "tRNA". From Rfam's summary of the family: Transfer RNA (tRNA) molecules are approximately 80 nucleotides in length. Their secondary structure includes four short double-helical elements and three loops (D, anti-codon, and T loops). Lineage: Bacteria; Pseudomonadati; Pseudomonadota; Gammaproteobacteria; Cellvibrionales; Halieaceae. RNAcentral also lists the same sequence under 2 other names. The record is from RNAcentral.
CAUAUAGCUCAGUCGGUAGAGCACUUCCUUGGUAAGGAAGAGGUCACCGGUUCGAAUCCGGUUAUG